AGGAGUUUGGAUCCCUGGCUCAGGACGAACGCUGGCGGCGUGCUUAACACAUGCAAGUCGAACGGGGCCCAACUGGUGGCAACACCAGGGAAGGCCAAGUGGCGAACGGGUGCGUAACACGUGAGCAACCCACCCCGAAGACCGGGAUAACACCGGGAAACCGGUGCUAAUACCGGAUGACGUCACCGGGUCGCAUGGCCUGGUGACGAAAGGAUUCCGCUUCGGGACGGGCUCGCGGCCUAUCAGCUUGUUGGCGGGGUAACGGCCACCAAGGCUACGACGGGUAGCUGGUCUGAGAGGACGAUCAGCCACACUGGGACUGAGACACGGCCCAGACUCCUACGGGAGGCAGCAGUGGGGAAUCUUGCGCAAUGGGCGAAAGCCUGACGCAGCAACGCCGCGUGCGGGAAGACGGCCUUAGGGUUGUAAACCGCUUUCAGCAGGGACGAAAAUGACGGUACCUGCAGAAGAAGCUCCGGCUAACUACGUGCCAGCAGCCGCGGUAAUACGUAGGGAGCGAGCGUUGUCCGGAUUUAUUGGGCGUAAAGAGCUCGUAGGCGGUUUGGCAAGUCGGAUGUGAAAGCUCCGGGCUCAACCCGGAGAUGCCACUCGAUACUGCCAUGACUUGAGUCCGGUAGGGGGGUGUGGAAUUCCCAGUGUAGCGGUGAAAUGCGCAGGAUCUUGGGAGGAACACCGAUGGCGAAGGCAGUCACCC
Molecule: ribosomal RNA, 715 nt
Filed under: uncultured Actinomycetes bacterium
Lineage: Bacteria; Bacillati; Actinomycetota; Actinomycetes
Description: bacterial SSU rRNA
Rfam family: Bacterial small subunit ribosomal RNA
Source: RNAcentral